Molecule: unclassified non-coding RNA, 6039 nt
Filed under: Hevea brasiliensis (rubber tree)
Lineage: Eukaryota; Viridiplantae; Streptophyta; Magnoliopsida; Malpighiales; Euphorbiaceae
Source: RNAcentral
CAGUCUUCUCGUUCGUCUUCCUCCAGAACUUCUGCAACCUGCAUGCUGAUUACUGGCUUCUGACUCUACUUUUAACCCUUCAUCUAUGUCAUGCCGGCAGUUCCCUUCGUCGUACAAGUGCUCGUCACGACCACCGCCCCACUACCUAAAACGCAACCACCAUUGCUGUAAUCCCCGCCAUAACAAUCACCCACCGCAGGAUUCCACCACCACCCAUUAUGUUCCUCUUAACUUCAUUAUCCACCUCCAAACCGACCCCGCGGCUACUGUUUCCGAAAAGAAGCCUGACCUUCACUCUCUCAUCUCCGAAUGCAAACCAUCUCCUGGGCGCACCAUCUUUCCUGCCACAGGUCCUGUAAUAGUCUCCUUGUAUUUCCGGGAAUGGAACCAUACUCUCGCCUUCAUCACCAACCUGUGGGACCUUCGGCUUCGUGGGGUACACACCUUGAACCCGAAACUCCAAUCCAACGUCGUCGUUCCCUCAGAUAUUGAGGAGCUGCAACAAAGCCUCAAAACCCUGUUUAUCAACCACGUAAAUGAGUUAGUCAACGGUGAGUUAGUUGAUAAAUGGCAACAGAAACUAUCCCAGAAAUGUGACGAGAUCGCUGACGUGUCGCGUUGUCUUAAGAGGCGUAAUCGACUAGGAGUGUAUAACGAACUGAGCGAAAGGAAGAAGAGGCUGGUGGUGGAGAGGAAUUUGAUGGGAAGGAGAGUGAGGGAAUUUAAGGCAGCUAUGAGUUGUAUUUUGGGAUAUCUCGAAGGGGGCGGAGAGCUAGGGGACGAGGAGGAGGAUGGAGGUGUGCAGGUGUUCACGUUGGAGGGGGAUUUUGAUUGGGAACGCAUUCAUAGACUAGUUUUGAGGGAAAUUAGAAGACUGGAGGAUGGUCUGCCCAUUUACUCGCAUAGGCAGGAAAUUCUGAGGAAAAUUUGUGGCAAGCAGGUAUAGUUUUAAGUAAAGCUUUUCUCUUCGCCCCGCCCCUCCGUUUCUUCUCCUGGCGAAGUGAGUUAUGCUUUGAAGGGAGCUGGUCGGAGAGAUUAUAGGGGUUAUGUUUGAUUGUUGAUAUAUAUGAUCCUUGUGGCAUGAUGUAUUUUUUAUUUGGUUGGUGGUAUUUGCUUGAAUUGGAAGAUUACAGGAAGAAGGGGUGUAUAUGAAUAAAUGUUAUGAGUUUGUGUGGCCAUUCUUUUGAAUGCCCAAACUCAUAGUGCAAGACUUUAUACCUCUUUGUUCUCUUAAGCACAUGUGUACAUCAUAGAUCUGAUAGUUCGUGCAUGAACAAUAGUACAUUGAUACUUUCAUGCUCAUGUAAUUGUUUUCUGUUGAGCUGUAGUUAUAAUUGAAAGCAAAUGAUGAGGCAUGAAAUGAGAAGUGUUCCAAUGCUUCUUCAUUUUGAAAUUGCUCCCUUUUUAGUCCUUGCGUGCGUAAUUUAAACUUCUCUUUUUAAUCUUUAAUGUCGCUAUGAACAUUUAGUUCUUCUUACCACUGUUUGCACAGGUAAUUGUAUUAGUCGGGGAGACUGGUUCGGGAAAAAGUACACAGUUGGUCCAAUUUCUUGCUGAUUCAGGAAUCGCUGCCAAUGAAUCAAUCAUAUGUAUUCAACCCCGCAAGAUCGCAGCCAUCUCAAUUGCAGACAGGGUCAGAGAAGAGAGUAUAGGUUGCUAUGAAGAUAAUUCAAUCAUCUCUCUUCCAACAUUUUCAUCCACUCGUCAGAUUGAUUCCAAGGUAGUGUACAUGACAGAUCACUGUUUAUUGCAGUACUGUAUGAACGACAGGAGUUUAUCUGGGAUUUCAUGCGUCAUUGUUGACGAGGCUCAUGAAAGAAGCUUGAACACUGACCUUCUUUUGGCAGUGAUUAAAGGUUUACUCCUCCAGAGGUUUGAUUUAAGGCUUGUAAUAAUGUCUGCAACAGCUGAUGCAAACCAGCUGUCAGAUUACUUUUUUGGGUGUGAAAUUGUUCAUGUGGUAGGUAGAAACUUUCCAGUAGAUGUUAGGUAUAUCCCUUAUACCAUAGAGGAAACUGCUUCUGGUAUUGUUGCUCCAUAUGUAUUUGAGGCUGUGAGGAUGACGAUGGAGGUUCAUAAAACAGAGAAAGAAGGGACCAUUCUUGCCUUUUUAACUUCUCAGAUGGAAGUAGAAUGGGCUUGUGAGGAAUUUGAAACUCCCUCUGCAGUUGCAUUACCCUUACAUGGAAAGCUUUCUGGUGAAGAGCAACAUCGUAUUUUCGAAAAUUAUCCUGGGAAAAGAAAAGUUAUAUUUGCCACUAAUCUUGCAGAGACUUCACUUACAAUUCCUGGGGUCAAGUAUGUGGUUGACUCUGGCAUGGUCAAAGAGAGUAAAUUUGAUCCAGUCAGUGGCAUGAAUGUGCUCAGAGUUUGCAGGAUUAACCAGAGUUCUGCUUUGCAAAGAGCUGGUCGUGCUGGGAGAACAGGACCUGGAAUAUGUUAUAGACUCUAUUCAGAACAUGAUUAUGACUCGAUGUCUCUCAAUCAGGAACCUGAGAUUCGGAGAGUUCAUCUUGGUGUCGCGGUUCUGAGGGUACUUGCUUUGGGAGUCAGAAACAUACAGGACUUUGAUUUUGUUGAUGCUCCUUCUGCCUUUGCUAUUGACAUGGCCACUAGGAACCUUGUUCAGCUAGGUGCCAUCACGAAGAAAAAUGAUGUUUAUGAAUUAACUGAGGAAGGUUGCUACUUGGUUAAAUUGGGUAUUGAGCCUUGCCGUGGCAAGCUCAUUCUCAGUUGCUUUCAUCAUGGCUUGGGCAAAGAGGGCAUUGUUCUUGCUGCUGUAAUGGCAAAUUCCAGUAGCAUAUUUUGCAGAGUUGGUAACGAUGAUAAUAAGCUAAAAGCUGAUUGUCUUAAGGUGCAGUUUUGCCAUCACAAUGGUGACCUUUUCACUCUUCUCUGUGUGUAUAGGGAGUGGGAGUCUCUGCCUAGGGACAGAAGAAAUAAAUGGUGUUGGGAAAAUAGCAUUAAUGCCAAAACCAUGCGGAGAUGCCAAGAAAGUGUGAAGGAACUGGAAAUUUGCCUUGAAAAGGAGCUUCAUGUUACUAUUCCAACAGACUGGCAUUGGAAUCCUCAUAAGUCUAGUGAGCAUGAUAAAAAUUUGAAACAGGCCAUACUCUCUGCACUUGCAGAAAAUGUAGCCAUGUACUCAGGUUGUGAUAAACUUGGUUAUCAAGUGGCAUUGACUGGAAAGCAUGUUCAGCUACAUCCAUCAUGUUCAUUGCUAAUAUUUGGUGAUAAGCCAAGUUGGGUUGUUUUUGGUGAACUACUAUCCACAUUUAGUCAAUAUUUGGUCUGUGUUACUGCUUUUGACUUCGAAUCAUUGUGUAUGAUUUUUCCUCCUCCCUUGUUUGAUGCCCUUAAGAUGGAAAGUCAAAAGUUGCAAGUGAAGGUUAUGACAGGUUUUGGCAAUACUCUGCUCAAAAAGUUAUGUGGGAAAUCUAACAAUAAUCUUCUAUCUCUUGUAUCAGGAAUUCAGAGUGCCUGUGAGGAUGAGCAGAUUGUUGUUGAGGUAAAUGUUCAUCAGAAUGAGAUUCUCUUAUUUGCCACCUCAGAACACAUGGAAAAGGUGUUCAGCCUUGUAAAAGAAGCUGUGGAGUAUGAGCAAAAACGGUUGCGUAAUGAAUGCAUGGAGAAAUGUUUGUAUCAUGGAGUAGGGGUCUCGCCUUCUGUGGCACUUUUUGGAGCUGGUGCUGAGAUAAAGCAUUUGGAACUUGAAAGUAGAUGUUUGACUGUUGAUAUAUUUCUUUUUAGUUCAAAUACAGUUCAUGAUAGGGAGCUUUUGAUGUUUCUUGAGAAAUUUGUUUCUGGAGGUAUUUGUGCUGUCCACAAAUCUACAGGCUUUGGACAAGAUGGUGAUGUAAAGGAUAAGUGGGGCAAGGUAACAUUUCUUACUCCUGAUGCUGCUAGAAAAGCUGCUCAGCUGAAAGAAAUGGAAUUCAGUGGCUCCUUACUGAAGGUACUGCCAUCGCAAACAACCUUUGAAAGUGAUCAUAAAAUGUUUUCAUUCCCUGCUGUCAAAGCAAAGGUUUAUUGGCCUCGUAGGUGCAGCAAAGGGUUUGCAGUUGUUAAAUGUGAUAUGCAUGAUGUUGAAUCCAUGAUGUGUGAUUUCUCUAUUAUAUCAAUAAGAGGAAAGAAUAUUCGGUGUGAAGUUAGUAGAAAAAGUCCAGAUUCUAUUAUUAUAAGCAGAAUUGAUAGAGAACUUUUUGAAGAUGAUGUUUUAGAUGUAUUAAGGGGGGCUACAAGGAGGAGAAUCCUGGGUUUUUUCAUUGUGAGGGGAGAUGCUGUAGAAAAUCCUGCGCGGGGUGCUUGUGAAGAAGCGCUUCUAAGAGAAAUCUCUUCCUUUAUGCCUAAAAGCAAUCCUCACACUAGCUGUUGCAGAGUCCAAGUCUUACUACCUGAACCCAAGGAUGCUUUUAUGAGAGCUUUGAUCACCUUUGAUGGAAGAUUACAUAUGGAGGCAGCAAAGGCCUUGGAGCAUAUGGAAGGGAAAGUGUUACCUGGAUGUCUUUCUUGGCAGAAAAUAAAGUGCCAGCAGUUGUUUCAUACCUCACUUUCCUGCUCAGCAUCUGUCUAUUUUGCAAUUGAGAAGGAACUGAAUUCUCUCCUUGCAAGCUUCAAGCAUCUGAAGGGUGUAGAAUUCAGUCUAGAAAAGAAUGAAAAUAGUUCCUACCGGGUAAGAAUAUCUGCCAAUGCCACAAGAACUGUUGCAGAGCUGAGAAGACCUUUGGAAGAGCUCAUGAAAGGACGAAUAAUAAAUCAUGCGAGCCUCACUCCCACUAUUUUAACACAUUUGUUCUCCAGACAGGGUAUCAAUCUGAUGAAGUCAAUACAGAGGGAAACUAAAACAUACAUCUUAUUUGACAGAUGGAACUUCAAACUAAGGAUCUUUGGUUCUUCAGACAAUGUUGCUUUUGCCCAGCAGAAGUUGAUUCAAUCCCUUCUGACAUACCAUGAGAGCAGGCGACUUGAGAUUCAUCUCAGAGGUGGAACUCUGCCUCCUGAUAUGAUGAAGAAAGUAGUUAAGAAGUUUGGCCCAGACCUUUAUGGGCUCAAAGAGAGGGUACCUGAGGCAGAGUUUACACUUAGCACCCGUGGCCACGUUAUCUAUAUUCACGGAAGCACGGAAUCGAAGCAAAAAGUGGAAGAAAUAAUUUUUGAGAUUGCACAGACAAGUGCUGAUUCAGCUGAGACACUUGAUGAUGAAGCUACCUGUCCCAUUUGCUUGUGUGAAGUUGAGGAUGGUUACCGGCUUGAAGACUGUGGACAUUUGUUUUGUCGAUUUUGCUUGAUGGAACAAUUUGAAUCAGCCGUAAAAAACUUGGAUAGUUUCCCAAUAGGCUGUGCCCGUGAGGGCUGUAGGGCUCUCAUAUUGCUUUCAGAUAUCAGGUGUCUGUUGUCUGGUGAGAAGAUGGAGGAACUCUUUAGGGCUUCUGUGGGGUCAUUUGUAGCAUCAAGUGGGGGAACCUACAGGUUUUGCCCAACUCCUGACUGCCCUUCUGUAUAUCGAGUUGCUGGUCCUGAGACAUCUAAACCAUUUGUCUGUGGAGCGUGUUUUGCAGAAACUUGUACUGGGUGCCAUUUGGAGCAUCAUCCAUACCUUUCAUGUGAGAGGUAUGCAGCAUUCAAGGAAGAUCCCGACUCGUCAUUGAAGGAGUGGUGCAGGGGAAGAGAGAGCGUGAAAAACUGCCCGGUUUGUGGCUAUACAAUUGAAAAGGUCGAUGGCUGCAACCAUGUUGUUUGCAAGUGCGGGAGGCAUAUCUGCUGGGUCUGUUUAGAGUCCUUUAACAGUGGUCCUGACUGCUAUGGCCACUUGACUGCUGUACAUGGGGCCAUAAGCUUUUAGUUCACUUACAUUUUCUACUUGUUUUCUAGUCUUGUAUACAAGUAUAAAUAUAAUUAUAAACAAUAGUAUCCACGGCCACCACCAUCCUGGCAAUCCUUUCCCUGGUUCAACAAUUCUUUCACCCUAUCUGAUCUUCCACAGGUAAACCCCCAUUUCUUUUCUUGCGGUUGCCAUUCUGAUUGCAACUUGAAGACUUG